ACAACCUCCCCUCCAUUGUGACAUUUCCGUUGUGAGGCUGUGUCGCCGCUGCGCGUCAUCACGUGUCGAUGGAGGCAUCGCAAUGCAACAGCCAAGUAUCGGAUCCGGCCUUCUUCAGCUCUCUGUUGUCUCCAUCAGCUCCCCUGGGGGCACUGUGACAUUUCCGCUGUGAGACUGUGUCGCCGCUGCGCGUCAUCACGUGUCGAUGGAGGCAUCGCAAUGCAACA
This 227-nucleotide long non-coding RNA is filed under the name Homo sapiens (human). Its description in RNAcentral is "non-protein coding lnc-ANKRD10-12:1". The record is from RNAcentral. Lineage: Eukaryota; Metazoa; Chordata; Mammalia; Primates; Hominidae.